This 278-nucleotide long non-coding RNA is filed under the name Elaeis guineensis (African oil palm). RNAcentral's name for it is "long non-coding RNA (EGUI_LNC031203)". The record is from RNAcentral. Lineage: Eukaryota; Viridiplantae; Streptophyta; Magnoliopsida; Arecales; Arecaceae.
ACCACACUCAACACAAAAGAGGACCCAAACCCUUCUUCACCCCUUGGAAUAAAGAUAGAGAUAUCGCAUCUAUUCAUUUCCUGAGAAUAUGAAAUGAAGAUUGCCAUCUUCACCUCUUGUUCUUUUGAAGGACUACAUCCUUUGUUACUGCAAAGCUACCAACCUCCACUCUACUGCUUCUGUCCAUGAUGACUUCUAGCAUUCUCCACCUCUUUGCUGACUUACACUCUGAAAUCUGACUACCAGGACACCUCCAAAUCCCUCACUACUCUAUCCCC